Gasterosteus aculeatus aculeatus (three-spined stickleback) is the source of this 9251-nucleotide long non-coding RNA. NCBI's taxonomy places the organism in Eukaryota, Metazoa, Chordata, Actinopteri, Perciformes, Gasterosteidae. The record is from Ensembl.
GUGAGUGACUGGACUCAAUAUAUAGUUCGAUAACAAUUAGACAUAACGAGCUUGAAGUUACGUGUCGAUGUCGAAAGGUGUUCUUAUGCUAAGAAAAAAUAAGUUAGCACGAGCGCUAAGCUAACAUUAGCUAACGUUACCUGCUUAGCUUCGUCAUUGUGUUACACACACUGUAACAUCGCGUUAAGCUAAAUAGCAAAAUGCUGGUCACAUUCAUGAAAACUGGUUAGUUCAAAUCUGAAAAGCAGUCAGCAGCUAGCUUACUGAACUGCUUAUUUUUUCUUUUUUAAAAGAAAUAUAUAACGUCAUGUUUCUAAUAUCGAUUUUCUAAUGUAAUACUCAAUACAAAGGGAAUAUGUAUGGCUGUUAUACUAUGUAUUACUCUUUUGGAUGUGUUAUUUUUACUGUGUUAUAAUUAUGUCAUAGAGUGCUUGAUAUUCCAUAUAUAGCUCAGUACAAACGUAACUUGACCAGGUACGAUGCGCUGUGGGUGACUCCAAGGUAACAUGACGUCACUUUGCUUUCCCAAUAUGCCUCCUUGUAACAAUUAAUAUAACCUAGUACAGAGAGGACCUCUUUCAAAGAGCACAUUUAGACUCGCCGCAGAAGGAAAAGCACAUUAUGAAUUCAUGGCGCUGAGCUUUGCUUUCAGCUGUGGAGCCUCUUGCUCUUGGUCACGCUCACACGGCUUACUGGGAGAGUUUAGUAAAACAGUAUGAGUUGUGAUUACAGGUUAAGAUGUCUGAUGUGAAUGGGGAUUGUUCUUUGAAACAAAGCUGGCAUUGUCAGAAACACGCACAGUAAUUCAUUUGUUUUACAUUUGGUUGUUAAUGUAGGAAGGCAACAUAAGCCAUCUGUAUUCUGUAUCGUGAUUCAGCAUCAUGCUGCGUAUCAGUCUGUUCUGCUAUUGGAAACGCACCUGCUGAAUAUUACGGUGUUGUGGUAUGCUGUGCGAUUACGCCCAGAUGAGUGUCUAUAGCUCCUACACAACAGAAUAAAUGGGCUAUUAUGGUAAUGCCGUAAGCAAUAUGAAUUAUAGCACAGGAGGUACAAAAGACAAUCUCUGACUAUUUCCCAUCACUUGGUUGAAUUCAUUUUCAAAGCCUUUCUUAAUUUGAAAUAGAUUACCUUAAAAAUGUUAUCUACCAAAAUAAUAUAAUGCAAUACGAACCUCCUUGGCAUGAUAUCAUUGUUGUAAUAGAGUAACACCUGUCAUUGUUCUCACUCAAAUUGUUUUUAUUCUCAGGUAUUUUAGAUGAGAGAAAAUGGAUACAAUCACACAAGAAGAUUACAGUCCAAACACUGAGAGUGAGCUUACUUCACCAUUUCCCCCCAAACGGCCGAGGACAGACUGUACACACAACAACGGUGGCAAAAGCAGUUUUGCAUUUCCGGAACUUGUGACGUUUUGGAAAACCGUCGGCUCCUCAUCAUCGACAAGUACCUGGCAGGAAAAUGCAGGUUUACUACGCGCAGCAGAAGGUGGUGAUAUGGAAGAGCAACUACAAGACGCUCCAUUUAUUGUCAUUCCUAUUGCGAGCUUGACUACGUCACACACUGGAUCGUCUGACGUCAGCUCAAUCUCUGCAGAGAGAUGCUUCAAACUUCUGGUGAGAGAUGAGCAGCCUCCAAUCCCUCCAACCGACAAACUCAGCUCCACCGUGCCAGAUGAUGAAGAUCGGGCUGUAGCAGAGACCUGCACUUCGAAAGAAGGCAACGCUGAUACGUCCAGUCAGCCUGAUAGCAAACUGCUGGGGGAAGCGUGUGAAGACGAGGCGCUUGGAAAUAACAGCGCUGGAGCACUGGUGCAGAAUAGUGCCAGUCAAAUCCAAGCAUUGCAGGUCAGUUCAAGCGACUAUGGGCUCAGAUAUCAGUCUGGUUGCACUUCUGAAAAUGAAAGUAAUCAGGAGUGGCAAGAGCCUGGAUUCACAGAGACUAUCGUAUUCAGCGAGGAAGAUACAGUCUUAUAUCUUUCACUGAUUCUUUCUACUCAAACCCACAACGCUCAGGGAACUUAGCACAGAUUUGUGAAAAUAUUGCUAUAUGUAAGCAGGAAACAGAAGACCAAGUCAAUGAGAAUUGCACGAGCAUGAACUCCCCAUGAACCAGAAGGAUCAAUUGUUUCUUAUGAUGUUGUUUCACUCAGAAACAUUCCAAUUGAGAGGUUGAGUCUUGAUGCUGAUGACUUCUGUGGGGAAAAAGGAGAAGAGGCUGGUGCUAAGAUGAUAGCCCGAGCUCAGAGCAAAACGUCUGAUCACACGACAGGGACUCCCGUGCCUGCACAAAUCUGUCAAGGGCCUGCUGAAGGAGAUAAUGAUGCAAGUCCUUUCGCUGUAAUUGAACCUGCAAUCUGGAGUGAAACUGACAGGGAGGAAGAGAAGAGCUGCAACUCAGGGAGCGCUGCCGCCGGUGUACAAUCACUUCCAUCAGUAAAAGUCUGCACCAUGGAAACCCCUCUCCCCCUCUGCGCCCACGUCCGGCUAUCAAAGGAGGUUUUAACCCUCAACCAGAAUGGAAAGUCAGAUCACCAAAGCCUUACGCAGCAGCGCGAAGAUGGAAAAGAGGACUUAUGUCAGUCAUUCACUGAACCACUGGCUGGUUCUAUCACCACCAACGAAACACACAACAACAGCAGCUGUCACGGGGAAACCGGAGUCAGCCAUGAUACUGUGGGGCAUCAGUUGAAAGAGUCAGAUCGGUCCGGCUGUUUUCAUGUCAGUCCUGAACGAAUGAAGACAAAGGAGGUUGAAUAUUUACAGGCUGAAAUCACCAGAACGGACGGGACAACUGAGAUAAAAGAAAACGGAGGAAUGACAAGUUUUGAAGAAGAAAUAAGAACCGGUGAGCAACCAGAAAACUCCCAGGACACAGAAGAAGCAACGGAAACAUCAUCUGGUAAUUCCAUCAGGCACCGGACCGAAGGCAAAACUAGUAAAUAUGACGACAAACUAACACAUGUGGAUGACGCGUUGAAAAAUAUACUUGGAUUUCUGUCUGAUCACCCCUACAAUGCUGUGAUUUUACCAACGGAAGAAGCAGCGGGUGAAGAGGAAAGAAAAGAAGAGGCAAGUGUGGGUGCAGAACGCGACAUGUACGGUAGCUCGGAGAUAGUUGUGGAACGGGAGAAGGAAGACAUGCCUGAGGAAUGGAUCAGUGAACGGACAGAGGGACACAAUUUAACCCUGGGGAGUCAACGUGAACAAGAACACAAGCUCAGUUGUGUCUCGGACUUUCAACACACAGCUGAGACAUACGUGGUUGAUAAUAGAGAUGACCCUUCGACCUUGACUGCCUUCCCCUUCAACGGACGUCUGCCAGGAGGAAUUGACACGUUCGAAAGGAUCCAACUCUCCCUGGAUGGUGAUGAAGACGGCCUGAGCGAGAGCCUUCUCCUCAGCAGCCUACCUGAGCAGCUGCUGACAUCACCUCAGCAACAGCUCCAUAAGCACGAGGAGGUACCGCAGGAGGAAGAGGAGGAAACAUCUGGUCGUCACCCUGAGAACAAGGCAAAGGGCUUUUCAGGCAUCUAUAGCAUGUGUAAUGAAGUCCCCGACUGGAUCUCAGCAGCAGCAGAAGACAUCGCUCUCGUACGUCCAGAGCAACCGGCAAACUGUGGGAGGACUCACAACUCCCCCGAGUGCUUCCAGGGCGACUUCCAGUCCAGUGUUCCCCCCAGCAGCGAGGGUCCAGCCUCUGACGUAGACGACAGUCUGACCUUUGAGAAGAAAGAGCUGUUCAACAAGGUCUUGAAAGAGCUGAACCUGUUUUUUAGCAUCAGCACAAGUGAUUUCACAAGAGACAGCGGUGCAUCGUCCUCUGAGCAGUGUGUUCGUGUGUCUGGAGCCUCGGAUCGAGACAACUGCAAAGAAGAUCUCAGCAUCGCAAAACUAGGAUGCUAUGGAGACCCAUCGCCAGACUCCGGCCUGGAAAUGUGUGCUGGGGAUCCAGAUGUUUCUCCUACCUGUGAAGGCGAGCAGGAGGUUCCCCUCGGCAGCCAUCUGUGCACCGAGGAGACUCACAAAGAGCCCCCGCAGAGGAAGAGAUGGUCUCCGUCCUUCCCGGGUCCCCCUCUCCUGGAACAACUGGGCUACAGACAGCCGGAGCAGACGAGGCGGCUGGAGCCUCUGCGAACAUGCAACCGGCCCAUCCGGGUCGGACUCUCAAAGAGAGCCAAGACCAAACACCUGCACCCCCCGCCCUGCCGGGGGGCUUCGCUGCCUUAAACAGGACGGAGCGACGAGUGAUGGCUGUUCAUGUGUUGUGUUCUCUGCUUCAUCGCUCUCCAGGCUCCGGUUCCUGCUUCUUUAUUCAGGUUAUACGCUAAUAAGCCAGAUGCUGCUGCCAAGUAAGGAAUCCUGCUCUGUGUCCACAUUGUCCCUGCUCAAAGUAGUAUUCUAGUUUUCAUAUCUUCCCCAAUUUUUAUGCACUGAUCUAUUUAUAUAUUUAUGUAUUUAUUGGCUUUCUUUCAACCCAGAUUAGGGUUGAAAAAAGCACAUAUAUGUUAUUAGGGCAAAACUCAAUUCCUAGUUCUUUGAAUUAGUUGUGACGUGUAAUCGUUUGCUCUCUGCUGUAACGUCUUCUCUGUGCAACGUGUUCCGUGGAACGUCACUGCGAGUUGAAUGUGAAAAUAACCAGUUCCCCAUUCAAUUAAAUACUGUACUUGCAUACAAACGUGUUUUUAAUAUAUAUAUAUACACACACAUGACUCUUUUGGCAACACAUGAAUUAACAUCAAUGAGCUGGUUCCAAAUGAACGUCUCCAGUCGCUGCUCGGGCUCCGAGGCGGUCCGGCUGAGCUCCCAGGUGGACGAUGGACUCAGCUGUUGUGGUAAGUGGUAAGAGAGCUAUUUGGUCUACCUCCUGAAUGGGAACGGGGGGGGAGGUUGGUUGUUUAUCCUCACGUGCGCGGGUGAGACAGAUCCAGGGACAGUAGUGAGGAAAACAACAGGACAGCAGCCAUGUCAGUGAACAAUGGAUCCAUGUUCCCUUCACUGGAAGUCCUCUUUGUAAAAGAGCAGAAUGAAAAUGCAGAAAUGACAUCACACGAUUCUUUUAUCUGUAUAACGACUAAUUAGGACUUCUUCCCCUGCUGGAGCCCCGCAGGGUAUUUUACCAAAGCAAUUUGAGUUUGUUGUAUUCACCGAUGUUUCCCACGACUUUGGAAUAACAUUCGUGUCCCGAUCACGUCUGAGAUUUUUCUGGUGUAUAAUUUAGGUUCAGUGAGCAAGUUGCCUCAGCUGGCAGCCCGAUCAAAGGAAACACAGAGGUAUGGCUUUCCAAAAUAAUUGGAUUCUAGUGGAACACUUUGAAUGUGGCUGCAGCCUUGUGGAUUUGAUUCAUCCCCAGUAGAUAAUGGCUCAGUCACUGUUAGUUCUGCCCUGUGUGUUGGCCUGUUUGAAAUGGACAUUUUUUAACCCCUUUAGCUUAAAGCAUACUUCAUUCAACCAUUGGUGAUCAUUUGUAUUCCACUACAAUUGACAUUACUCUAAACACGCCAUGUUGCGUGUACAUCUGGAACAUGUUUCCUCCAUUUGUUGUCUUACUGCACACGCACAUGCCAGUAAUCUUCCGGGUUUUAGUUACAGCUCACUUGAGGUGCAGUGGAGGGUGUCUCCUAUGCACCAUUCUUACAUAACAGUCGCAUUUUCAAACUAUUCCAACAGCAUUAAAGUUAAUGAGCCAUACUAUUAUUACAAGGACGCCUCUGCUGUGUGUUCUUGUCUGCAUACGUGGGCACAUUUCACAGGAGCUUUUGUGAAUUUUGGAAAUACAGCGACUGCUUCUGCUAAUGUAAGAGCGUCUUGUCUACAAUAGAAUGAAUAAUACAUUAGUUUAAGUCAUUUUCAUGAGAUUGAGUAUUUUUUAUAAGUAUGUAGUCUAUUAUUACCAUAUGCUCGUGAAAUGUUUCUGAUGUCUUCCCAUGCAGUCCUUGUUUGACACAUCUGUAGCGCGGGAUGGAGUUCUGCACUCUGCACGUCUACCGCCCUCCUGCAGGGGGGGUCAGUGCCGGUCUGCCUCAGGGAUCCUAAGCAGCUCUUCAAAGGCUUCAAGGCCGUUCCACAGAGACUGCUCUCCUUGCUGUCUCAGAGCAUCUCCACACUGCUAGAGCUCCUGUCUCUCCUCUGUCCUCAUCCUUCUGGACCUCUCUGCUGCAUUUGACACAGUCAACCACCAGAUACUUAUCUCCUCCCUUCAAGAAACUUGGUGUCUCAGGCUCUGCUCUCUCCCUUCUCUCGUCCUACCUCGACGGCCGCACCUACCGGGUAACCUAGCGAGGAUCUGUGUCGGAACCUUGUCAUCUUACUACUGGAGUUCCUCAGGGUUCCGUCCUGGGUCCCCUCCUCUUCUCGCUCUACACCAACUCUCUCGGCGCUGUCAUUCGCUCGCAUGGCUUCUCCAACCACAGCUACGCCGAUGACACCCAACUAAUUCUCCACCAACUCUCCCUGACCCCCAACAUUACAGCAACAAUACGAUCCUUUAGAUACUCGCUCUACAACAUCAGGAGAAUACGUCCUCUCCUCACUCAGAAGGCGGCGCAGAUCUACAGUCUGAGGCCAUUGUUAUAAAGAGAGAGCCAAUGGAGUUAAUGCGUUUUUCCUUUUUUCUCAAAUCCAACGUGGGCGGAUGCGUGGUGGUCCGGUCUGAAUCGCUGCUGCCUGCUCAGAGCCCACGAUGCCUCCAGGAUGCACUCUGUUCGCUAUCGACUUUCUUUACUCAGCCACUUUGUCCAGCAUAUGAUAUGAUCAGUUCAUCCUGGCUGUAAACAUUUCUGGUAGUCGGCCUUGUUGGGACCUUUUGUGUGGAGCAAAUUGCUUUUUGAAAGUUUUGGUUUUUGUUACCUUGUUGGCUACAAAAUAAAAGCCUCCGGCUUUGUUUCAUAUUCACGUCUUUUUGAGAUGCCAAGUAGGCUCCUUGAUGACUGCAGGAGGGACUGAAGCUAAAAGUCUGCCUGUACGUGCUCACUGAUUGGCUACACGCGUUAUACAAAGACUGCUGUGUCCUCACCUUUGCUCCGUCCCACAGUCCCCUGCAGGUGGUCCCGGGGGACAGUGAUGGUGACCAAAGGUUUGACCUCUGCAGGAGAAUUUGUCAAUGCGCUGACCUGAGGUCAGCCGUCUCCGGGCCUGCAGGGUUCGGCUGGUUUGUCACUGAGGGAAUCCUCCAGAAGCAGCCACACGUCCUCAGAAGCAUGUUGAUGUUUUUAGAAUCAACGCACGUCUCGACACAGAGGCUGAUAAACCGCUGUGAAAUACCAGGGAAAAUAGAGACAGUGCUACCGCCACGUUAUAUUAAUACUAUGGAUUGUGAGGUGGGAGACAAAUGUGGUUGAUGACCAGAGAAAGUAUCAACGCACUGAGAACAGAAAAGAGUGGACCGUUCUAAUCUUUGAACAUGUUCAACAGAUCGAUGCGGUUCACACUGUAAUGUGACGUAAUGCAGAGAGUUAAACUGAGAUUUAGAUGUUCCCCUCCUUUUUCCCUCCCUCCUUUUUCCCUCCCUCCUUUUUCCCUCCCUCCUGCCCAGACAGACGACCAGGAGGGAACCGCUGCUGCAAUGCAGCAAAACAAAUUGUGAGAAUCUAUUAAGCUUUUGUGAUUGUCUCCUUGUUUGUCUUUGUGGCUCCGUCGGGGUUCGACAUGAAAGACGCUCCGAGUAGUGGAAGAUAAAAUCAACAUGCAGCGUAUUUUCACUUCAUGUGUCUUUAGUUGGUCAUAAAGGGAUCUGAAGGCCAUCAUUUAAUUGUUCUGGACACCAUUUCAAACCGGUGCGAUGUGACUUCAGCUGCCGUCCACACGAAGGUCGUCCUUUGCUCACGUCGGCCACCUGCAGCGUCCACGAGGGUUGUUGCACAAACAACGCUGAAUGCAAUGCAGACAAAGACGUCUGUGGCUCACUGGACAGGGAAAAUAAAGCGCGAUGUCCUUCACCCUUUCCACAGGGCACAUGGUGAUGGGACUAAUGGACGGCUCCAAAGUGCUUUGGGUUCAGGGUGACAGGUUCAGACUCUCCUUAUUCUUUGUAAAACCGAACACGUUGCAGCUCCAGGACAAUGUUUCACACUGCGUGUCUGCUUGUGAACAUAACUAAACACUAAAAUAAGAGUAAAUUAACCCUAAAAACACAAGUAAACAUUUCAAGCAGUUAAGAAGCCACUAAAAUGACUCAAUAUGUCGCACACAGAGUCGAGGACAUCGAUCGAGGGAGCGUCUCCUGGUAUCCUGGGUCCCGGACUGUGAUCUCUACCAGGUGGUUGCUGGCUUGUUACAAAAUGAGCACAAGCAAUUACUUGGCGCCCACAUUAAGUGGCACCGUUUACCACAUCGUUUAAACCACGAAGGCCGUUGGAGGCAAACAGGCACAACUACUAUUGUACGAGCUGCACAGUGAUUAUUCACUCAGUGGGGCAACACGCUUCCGUCUCCGGGCUGCGUUUCAGCGCGUGAGGGAUGGAUGGAGGGUGAGGCACUGUUCAUCUGAGGUUGUCGUGGUCGGUGGUGAAUAAGAGUAGAUGGCACACGGCCUGUUACCAUGGCAACGAGUCCCACGUUGACGGGCGGAGUGAAAUGAAUUCCAGUUAUUCUCUCGUUUUUAACAUGUAAAUUCCUCUCCCUCGUUUUUCCUCGGCUCCUCUUACUCACAUGUAUAUAUAUAUAAUAAUAAUAUAAUAUUAUAUAAGUGUGUGUGACGCGCUGAUGGCUGAUGAUUCAGGAGGAGAAUUGAUGCUUAUGUUCAGCUAACACGUUGUGUUUAGCCGCUGGAUGCAAUCACUCAGCAGCUCGACUCAACUAUUGUCAUGGAUUAUUUGUUGUGUAAUAAAUAAAACAACAUUUAAAAGUUCCUCUGGAUCUGUGGUUUUGAUUUAGGAUUUAACUGGCUUAUAUUUCCAGACGAAUUACAUAUCGGAGGGAGGCUGAAAUACAGUACGUGUAGAUAAUACACUAAUUGGAUAACUAUACAAAGGUUAGUUUUAAUUCAUCAUCUGUAUUAAUGAUCUAAAUUAGAGAUAAAUAGUUUUAAAAACUCAGAUCGUAGGCCCGGUAAUGAUUGCUGAUCCAAUACAUAAUGUAGAUAUGUUAAUAUGGCACAAGGCCUGUGUAGCCUGUGUAGUCUGAGACACAAUAAAUGACUCAUGUGCCUUGAUGUAAAACGUAAUAUCUAAUAAGAGCAGCAGGAGGGACAGAAGUUUAACUAAACAGGGAUGUAACAUUCUGCACAUGGCUGCAGAAAUCAACACAACAGGAAUCCCU